RNAcentral lists this unclassified non-coding RNA (1513 nucleotides) under Hevea brasiliensis (rubber tree). Lineage: Eukaryota; Viridiplantae; Streptophyta; Magnoliopsida; Malpighiales; Euphorbiaceae. The record is from RNAcentral.
AAAAUGACUUUCUCUUUUGAAAAAUACAAGUCAUUGUCCUUAAAAAUAACUUUGUUUUCCCUUUGACUAGGAAAAUAUUUACCAUUGAUCAAUUUUCUCGAGUGCCCUAAACAUCAAAAAAUGCGGAAGAUAUUUUUCAAAAAAAUACAAAAAAUAUUUUUCAAUAAAAUAUUUUCUGUGAAACGAACGAAGCCUCAGAUAUGAAAUACCAUGCACAGCUCUCAUCAGCGAACCUAAUUAGUGACAGCCAAAUCUUUUUCUUCUCAUACCUAUGAUUGAAAAAUUCCAGAACUUUUAAGGAUAAUCAAGGAAGAGAAAGAAAAUAACUUUUACCUAGUAAGGUUCUCUUUGUCCACCAAGGAAAGAAAUUGCUCACUUAAAAAUCAAUCCCCUUUUGCCUACUUCAAGCUAUUUAAAUUUUACAUAUUAAUCUGUUUUAUGUAUAUCAUGAUAUUUGAUAGAGAAAUCAAUGAUCCAACUCUAAUACUAAUACCAGAUUGGUUUUCAGAUGAAAAGUAGACAGAACAACUUACUCACAUCCAAGCACAUAGAACCAGAAGUAAAUUACAUGAACUUUAGAACAAAUAAUCUAAAUAACCUGAAAGGAGUAAUCCCAAAGAAGCUAGGAACACGCUUACCGGAGGAGUUGCACCAUAGGCACUAGCAUAACCAGAAGCAAGACCCAUCCCCACUUGAUUAGCAUCAUGCUGCUCUUUCUUCUUUUUUCCUGUCACAUUAGUGAAAAAAAAACUCUCACAGGAGUAAUUUAGACACAAGGAAACCUAAUCUAUUAUAUUUAAAAGAAAUUGAAAAACCUACAAAAUACUGCACAAUAUGAACUAAUAUCUAGCAUAGAGCUAUGAUUUCUCACCCGCAUGUUUAAACAAGCAACUGUAAUAUUGAUGCUUCUGUAGUAUGCUGCUAGCAAAUGAAAUGUAACAGAACUUACAGUUCACAAAUGGUACACUCUAUCCGUACACAAAGAUCAUUAACUUACCUUUCUCUUCAUGCUUCUUUCGUUUUUCCCUUGGAACAAAAGUGCCAUCAGCUUUCGCAAUGAUGUCCGAUUUUGCUUUUGCAUAUUGUAUUCUCAUGGGCUUAUCAUAAAAGGGGAAAGACUGCAUUUGCCUCAUAGCAUUAGUAGCUGACUUAACAUCCUCGAAAACGACCCAAGCUUGCCCUUUGUGUUUCAGCGUCUUGAACGCUAAUAUCUCCAAAAUCUUACCGAAUUGAGAGAACACCGCAUGCAGGGAUUUCUUCAACUCGUCGAUUUUGAUUUUCUCGUUGAGAUUGUUGAUGUAAAUGGUGACGUUGGAAGGGAUUUCGGUGCCAGUACUCACAUUAUUCACAUCGGCCACAUUCUUUUGCUCUAGCAACGCCAUAGCUCAAGAAAUGGUAUGCAGCGAGAGAGCGUGAAGGUCGGGUUUUGGGUGGACAGUGGGAUUUUGGGUCCAAAAUAACGGCCGGGUAAGAGCCCUAAUUGCGCCACCGAGCCAGCCGCCAGGGAGCUAAG